CAGUCGCCACGGUAAUACGGAGGGGGCUAGCGUUGUUCGGAAUUACUGGGCGUAAAGCGCACGUAGGCGGCUUUGUAAGUCAGAGGUGAAAGCCCGGGGCUCAACCCCGGAAUUGCCUUUGAGACUGCAUCGCUUGAAUCCAGGAGAGGUGAGUGGAAUUCCGAGUGUAGAGGUGAAAUUCGUAGAUAUUCGGAAGAACACCAGUGGCGAAGGCGGCUUACUGGCUCAUACUGGACGCUGAGGUGCGAAAGCGUGGGGAGCAAACAGGAUUAGAUACCCGCGUAGUCCCUGUCUCUUAUAC
RNAcentral lists this ribosomal RNA (301 nucleotides) under uncultured bacterium. Its description in RNAcentral is "partial 16S ribosomal RNA". It matches the Rfam family "Bacterial small subunit ribosomal RNA", at positions 509 to 807 of the family's 1533-position model. The record is from RNAcentral.